Long non-coding RNA from Mus musculus (house mouse), 1558 nucleotides. RefSeq lists it as uncharacterized. Lineage: Eukaryota; Metazoa; Chordata; Mammalia; Rodentia; Muridae. The transcript is spliced from 2 exons. The record is from RefSeq and is a predicted model, not a curated record.
UCCCAAAAAUCCCCCAUACUCUCCCCCCCCCCACUUCCCUACCCACCCAUUCCCAUUUUUUUGGCCCUGGCGUUCCCCUGUAUUGGGGCAUAUACAGUUUGCGUAUCCAAUGGGCCUCUCUAUCUCAAUUUUUAAACUUAAACGGUUUUUUUCUUUUUUAUUAAUUUAUUUAUUCACUUUACAUCCUGUGCACAUGCCCUAUGGUGUCAGGGUCUCAAACAUAUUGUCAUGCAUGUGAGAAGGUUAGAGACAGGAGUCAGUUCUCUCCUUCAACUAUGGGAUCAGCUCAUAUCACCCAGCUUGUAAGAGAAGAGCUUUUACCUAUUGAGCCAUCUUGCUGGUACUCACCUCCACUUUGACACAUCAUUGUAAGUAGGUAGGUUGACUCCACCGGGGUUCCUAAUUCAGUCCAGUUUUUCCUCUAUUCUGAACAUGGCACUGAAAUGCUUUCUUGGUGUCAAUAAGUUACAUUUGAGAAUGUGACUAAAGACUUAUUUCAGGGAAGCAAAACUGACCACAGUUAGCUGUCAAAGGUUUUCUUUAUCUGUGCAUGUGCUUCCCUCAAUCUGUCUACUUGGUUGUACAUGUCUGUAGUAGUGUUUACAUUCUCUAACUCAUCAAAACUUUACUUAAGUUCUUCUGUCUUAUUUUGCUUAUUUUCCUUUUAGAGGACACGGAGACAAACAGUGCUGACACUUCUGAAACUGCUGAUUCUACUGGUGGAAAUACUGGCUCUGAAACUCAGGCAGAUAGUACCAGUCAAAAUCAAGAAGUUGAUUCCUCUGAUUCAGUCAAUGAACAAAGUGUGAACACUGAUAAUACCAACACUGCUAAUGAUGCUUCUGAGGAAGACAAGAGACAGAUGAUAACAGUACCGGGGAUAAUACCUCUGAUCAGAACAAUGACGUUGACAACUCUGAAAAGAAGUUGCCAAUGCAAAAACUAAAUUUGAAGACCUCAAAACCGGUUUAAAAAAAAAAACAUUUCAACUAAUUUUGUUCUUUAUGGAACUCUCUGAAUCCUUAGGUUCCCCAUGGCUACAGUGAACUGUACUUUCAUGAGGAAGUAGGAGAGGGUAAGGAGAGGGAGAAGAAGAGACCCUUCUUUUUUUCCUCUUUUCUAAGUUCAUCAUAUUGUUUAUAUAUAAGCACCAGAAGGAUCAGAAGUUGAUCAAGAGUAUGCUAUCAAUUUUAGCUGCAUCUAUCUUUCAAUAUUAGAUCUGUUGGAGACAAUGUAAAUACAGCAGAAAUCAUUGAAAGUGUCAAGUGUCUCCAUGUAGCAUGGCAACUGCAUGGCUUUUCUUUUUCUUAAAUAAAAGUCAUGUUUUCUUUGGAGACUAUUCUAAAAAUUGAAAUAGAAAAUGGCUUUGUGAUGAGGUCUUCAUGGAUGACUGUUAAAACAUAAAUCAGGAGACUUCUUAAAGUUUAAAAAUUUAUUUAGCAUGAGGGUUUUUUUUUCCUAGCCCUUCAACUUUAAAGUAAUACCCAUUAUAUUAUACUGUAUCAUAUUUUAUGCAUAUGUCAAGCAUCAUUUUAUAAAAUUCACAUUUCUGAUCUGA